RNAcentral lists this ribosomal RNA (2429 nucleotides) under Escherichia coli. RNAcentral describes it as "partial 23S ribosomal RNA". It matches the Rfam family "Bacterial large subunit ribosomal RNA", at positions 535 to 2925 of the family's 2925-position model. The record is from RNAcentral. Lineage: Bacteria; Pseudomonadati; Pseudomonadota; Gammaproteobacteria; Enterobacterales; Enterobacteriaceae.
GGAGUGAAAAAGAACCUGAAACCGUGUACGUACAAGCAGUGGGAGCACAGAGCAAUCUGUGUGACUGCGUACCUUUUGUAUAAUGGGUCAGCGACUUAUAUUCUGUAGCAAGGUUAACCGAAUAGGGGAGCCGAAGGGAAACCGAGUCUUAACUGGGCGUUAAGUUGCAGGGUAUAGACCCGAAACCCGGUGAUCUAGCCAUGGGCAGGUUGAAGGUUGGGUAACACUAACUGGAGGACCGAACCGACUAAUGUUGAAAAAUUAGCGGAUGACUUGUGGCUGGGGGUGAAAGGCCAAUCAAACCGGGAGAUAGCUGGUUCUCCCCGAAAGCUAUUUAGGUAGCGCCUCGUGAAUUCAUCUCCGGGGGUAGAGCACUGUUUCGGCAAGGGGGUCAUCCCGACUUACCAACCCGAUGCAAACUGCGAAUACCGGAGAAUGUUAUCACGGGAGACACACGGCGGGUGCUAACGUCCGUCGUGAAGAGGGAAACAACCCAGACCGCCAGCUAAGGUCCCAAAGUCAUGGUUAAGUGGGAAACGAUGUGGGAAGGCCCAGACAGCCAGGAUGUUGGCUUAGAAGCAGCCAUCAUUUAAAGAAAGCGUAAUAGCUCACUGGUCGAGUCGGCCUGCGCGGAAGAUGUAACGGGGCUAAACCAUGCACCGAAGCUGCGGCAGCGACACUGUGUGUUGUUGGGUAGGGGAGCGUUCUGUAAGCCUGUGAAGGUGUGCUGUGAGGCAUGCUGGAGGUAUCAGAAGUGCGAAUGCUGACAUAAGUAACGAUAAAGCGGGUGAAAAGCCCGCUCGCCGGAAGACCAAGGGUUCCUGUCCAACGUUAAUCGGGGCAGGGUGAGUCGACCCCUAAGGCGAGGCCGAAAGGCGUAGUCGAUGGGAAACAGGUUAAUAUUCCUGUACUUGGUGUUACUGCGAAGGGGGGACGGAGAAGGCUAUGUUGGCCGGGCGACGGUUGUCCCGGUUUAAGCGUGUAGGCUGGUUUUCCAGGCAAAUCCGGAAAAUCAAGGCUGAGGCGUGAUGACGAGGCACUACGGUGCUGAAGCAACAAAUGCCCUGCUUCCAGGAAAAGCCUCUAAGCAUCAGGUAACAUCAAAUCGUACCCCAAACCGACACAGGUGGUCAGGUAGAGAAUACCAAGGCGCUUGAGAGAACUCGGGUGAAGGAACUAGGCAAAAUGGUGCCGUAACUUCGGGAGAAGGCACGCUGAUAUGUAGGUGAAGUCCCUCGCGGAUGGAGCUGAAAUCAGUCGAAGAUACCAGCUGGCUGCAACUGUUUAUUAAAAACACAGCACUGUGCAAACACGAAAGUGGACGUAUACGGUGUGACGCCUGCCCGGUGCCGGAAGGUUAAUUGAUGGGGUCAGCGCAAGCGAAGCUCUUGAUCGAAGCCCCGGUAAACGGCGGCCGUAACUAUAACGGUCCUAAGGUAGCGAAAUUCCUUGUCGGGUAAGUUCCGACCUGCACGAAUGGCGUAAUGAUGGCCAGGCUGUCUCCACCCGAGACUCAGUGAAAUUGAACUCGCUGUGAAGAUGCAGUGUACCCGCGGCAAGACGGAAAGACCCCGUGAACCUUUACUAUAGCUUGACACUGAACAUUGAGCCUUGAUGUGUAGGAUAGGUGGGAGGCUUUGAAGUGUGGACGCCAGUCUGCAUGGAGCCGACCUUGAAAUACCACCCUUUAAUGUUUGAUGUUCUAACGUGGACCCGUGAUCCGGGUUGCGGACAGUGUCUGGUGGGUAGUUUGACUGGGGCGGUCUCCUCCUAAAGAGUAACGGAGGAGCACGAAGGUUGGCUAAUCCUGGUCGGACAUCAGGAGGUUAGUGCAAUGGCAUAAGCCAGCUUGACUGCGAGCGUGACGGCGCGAGCAGGUGCGAAAGCAGGUCAUAGUGAUCCGGUGGUUCUGAAUGGAAGGGCCAUCGCUCAACGGAUAAAAGGUACUCCGGGGAUAACAGGCUGAUACCGCCCAAGAGUUCAUAUCGACGGCGGUGUUUGGCACCUCGAUGUCGGCUCAUCACAUCCUGGGGCUGAAGUAGGUCCCAAGGGUAUGGCUGUUCGCCAUUUAAAGUGGUACGCGAGCUGGGUUUAGAACGUCGUGAGACAGUUCGGUCCCUAUCUGCCGUGGGCGCUGGAGAACUGAGGGGGGCUGCUCCUAGUACGAGAGGACCGGAGUGGACGCAUCACUGGUGUUCGGGUUGUCAUGCCAAUGGCACUGCCCGGUAGCUAAAUGCGGAAGAGAUAAGUGCUGAAAGCAUCUAAGCACGAAACUUGCCCCGAGAUGAGUUCUCCCUGACCCUUUAAGGGUCCUGAAGGAACGUUGAAGACGACGACGUUGAUAGGCCGGGUGUGUAAGCGCAGCGAUGCGUUGAGCUAACCGGUACUAAUGAACCGUGAGGCUUAACCUUACAACGCCGAAGGUGUUU